UGCCAGCAGCCGCGGUAAUACGGGGGGUGCAAGCGUUAUUCGGAUUUACUGGGCGUAAAGAGCGCGUAGGCGGUCUCUUAAGUCAGGUGUGAAAGCCCGGGGCUCAACCCCGGAAGUGCACUUGAAACUAAGGGACUUGAGUAUGGGAGAGGGAAGUGGAAUUCCUGGUGUAGCGGUGAAAUGCGUAGAUAUCAGGAGGAACACCGGUGGCGAAGGCGACUUCCUGGACCAAUACUGACGCUGAGGCCCGCAAGCUAGGGGCGCAAACAGGAUUAGAUA
RNAcentral lists this ribosomal RNA (279 nucleotides) under uncultured bacterium. RNAcentral describes it as "partial 16S ribosomal RNA". It matches the Rfam family "Bacterial small subunit ribosomal RNA", at positions 506 to 784 of the family's 1533-position model. The record is from RNAcentral.